This 440-nucleotide ribosomal RNA is filed under the name uncultured soil bacterium. RNAcentral's name for it is "bacterial SSU rRNA". It matches the Rfam family "Bacterial small subunit ribosomal RNA", at positions 26 to 471 of the family's 1533-position model. The record is from RNAcentral.
AGAUUGAACGCUAGCGGGAUGCUUUACACAUGCAAGUCGAACGGCAGCGCGGACUUCGGUCUGGCGGCGAGUGGCGAACGGGUGAGUAAUAUAUCGGAACGUGCCCAGUAGCGGGGGAUAACUACGCGAAAGCGUGGCUAAUACCGCAUACGCCCUACGGGGGAAAGGGGGGAUCGCAAGACCUCUCACUAUUGGAGCGGCCGAUAUCAGAUUAGCUAGUGUGAGGUAAAGCUCACCAAGGCGACGAUCUGUAGCUGGUUUGAGAGGACGACCAGCCACACUGGGACUGAGACACGGCCCAGACUCCGUACGGGAGCAGCAGUGGGGAAUUUGGACAAGUGGGGAAACCUGAUCCAGCCAUCCCGCGUGUGCGAUCGGAAGGCCGUUCGGUUAGUUAAACGCGUACGUUUGGCAAGGAAGAAACGGCGUUAGACGUAAUA